CACUCUAGCGAGACUGCCGGUAAUAAACCGGGAGGAAGUGGGGAUGACGUCAAGUCCUCAUGGCCCUUAUAUCCAGGGCUACACACGUGCUACAAUGGUAUGUACAAAGAGGAGCAAGCCUGCGAGGGUGAGCGAAUCUCAUAAAGCAUAUCUCAGUUCGGAUUGGAGUCUGCAACUCGACUCUAUGAAGUUGGAAUCGCUAGUAAUCGCGGAUCAGCAUGCCGCGGUGAAUACGUUCCCGGGCCUU
This 247-nucleotide ribosomal RNA is filed under the name uncultured Desulforegula sp. Its description in RNAcentral is "partial 16S ribosomal RNA". It matches the Rfam family "Bacterial small subunit ribosomal RNA", at positions 1136 to 1382 of the family's 1533-position model. The record is from RNAcentral. Lineage: Bacteria; Pseudomonadati; Thermodesulfobacteriota; Desulfobacteria; Desulfobacterales; Desulforegulaceae.